Molecule: ribosomal RNA, 763 nt
Filed under: Gallowayella borealis
Lineage: Eukaryota; Fungi; Ascomycota; Lecanoromycetes; Teloschistales; Teloschistaceae
Description: LSU rRNA
Rfam family: Eukaryotic large subunit ribosomal RNA
Source: RNAcentral
CGGGCGAGGGGCCGGUCUAAGUCUCUUGGAACGGGGCGUCAUAGAGGGUGAGAAUCCCGUAUGUGACCGGUGACUGAGCCCAUGUGAAACUCCUUCGACGAGUCGAGUUGUUUGGGAAUGCAGCUCAAAAUGGGUGGUAAAUUUCAUCUAAAGCUAAAUACCGGCCAGAGACCGAUAGCGCACAAGUAGAGUGAUCGAAAGAUGAAAAGCACUUUGGAAAGAGAGUCAAAAAGUACGUGAAAUUGUUGAAAGGGAAGCGCUUGCAACCAGACCUGCCCGCGGGUGAUCAACCGUCCUUCUGGGCGAUGCACUCGCCCGCGAUCAGGCCAGCAUCGGUUCGGGCGGUCGGAUAAAGGCCUUGGGAACGUAGCUCCUUUCGGGGAGUAUUAUAGCCCUCGGUGCAAUGCGGCCAGCCUGGACCGAGGACCGCGCUUCGGCUAGGAUGCUGGCGUAAUGGUUGUAAGCGGCCCGUCUUGAAACACGGACCAAGGAGUCUAACAUCUAUGCGAGUGUUUGGGUGGUCAAAGCCCAUACGCGUAAUGAAAGUGAACGGAGGUGGGAACCCGUUAGGGCGCACCAUCGACCGAUCCAGAUGUCUUCGGAUGGAUUUGAGUACGAGCAUAGCUGUUGGGACCCGAAAGAUGGUGAACUAUGCCUGAAUAGGGUGAAGCCAGAGGAAACUCUGGUGGAGGCUCGCAGCGGUUCUGACGUGCAAAUCGAUCGUCAAAUUUGGGUAUAGGGGCGAAAGACUAAUCGAACCAUC